AUUUCUCGCACACCUGGGAGCCACACUGUCAUCCGUGAAGGGAGUCUGCUCUUAUAUUUUUGUGUUUUUUGAAGCGAAUUAUCCUGUUGCCGAGGGAGCCAUGCAUCUAGAAACGGCUGGGGAAGGAGACGGUGGCUGAGUGGUUAGCGUGCCGGUCCUGCGUUCGCUGCAUGAUUGAUGAGGAGGGUUUGAAUCCACCGCUGCCACAGUCUACCUGUCCUGACGACCACCACCAUCAUCCUGGACUGUAUGGGACUGUCCAAGGGAAAGCAAGAUGGGGCCGCUAUAAACACUUGCCGGCUUGGGGCCACCACCAGGCCCAGCCAAGGGAGGUUGGUGUAGCAGUGCCGGGAGGUUCCAUAACACAGGGCACUCCUCACCUCAACAACAGUCUCUUCACCGACAAGUAAUUCUUCACCAACAAGCUUUUCAGCAGCUUGGAGAAAUAGACACUACCAAACGAAGAAGAGGAGGAGGAGGACUGGGAAGAAGACGAGGAACACCGGAGGAACCCAUUGAAUUGAACGGCUGAACGGACAACUCUAGCGUCUUGGUCUGCACACCACACACUCUGGAAGAAGGAAGAACACCAAGAUGUCAAGUUCCUGCAGAAUCAGCCUCUUAGUGAAGGAAAUGUGCUCUAUUUAUUUAAUAAAUGAUUGACAAAAAAAUCAUUUAGUAUUUAUUUUAGAAAAAUUC
Molecule: long non-coding RNA, 699 nt
Organism: Eriocheir sinensis (Chinese mitten crab)
Lineage: Eukaryota; Metazoa; Arthropoda; Malacostraca; Decapoda; Varunidae
Exons: 5
Source: RefSeq, a predicted model, not a curated record